GAUGAACGCUGGCGGCGUGCCUAAUACAUGCAAGUCGAGCGAACAGACGAGGCGCUUGCUCCUCUGACGUUAGCGGCGGACGGGUGAGUAACACGUGGAUAACCUACCUAUAAGACUGGGAUAACUUCGGGAAACCGGAGCUAAUCCCGGAUAAUCUAUUGAACCGCAUGGUUCAAUAGUGAAAGACGGCUUUGCUGUCACUUAUAGAUGGAUCCGCGCCGCAUUAGCUAGUUGGUAAGGUAACGGCUUACCAAGGCAACGAUGCGUAGCCGACCUGAGAGGGUGAUCGGCCACACUGGAACUGAGACACGGUCCAGACUCCUACGGGAGGCAGCAGUAGGGAAUCGUCCGCAAUGGGCGAAAGCCUGACGGAGCAACGCCGCGUGAGUGAUGAAGGUCUUCGGAUCGUAAAACUCUGUUAUUAGGGAAGAACAAAUGUGUAAGUAACUAUGCACGGCUUGACGGUACCUAAUCAGAAAGCCACGGCUAACUACGUG
This 497-nucleotide ribosomal RNA is filed under the name uncultured bacterium. Its description in RNAcentral is "partial 16S ribosomal RNA". It matches the Rfam family "Bacterial small subunit ribosomal RNA", at positions 28 to 507 of the family's 1533-position model. The record is from RNAcentral.